CCCUACCAAUAGCAUGUACCUUGACGUGGUGGUAGGGCAACUAAUUGAUCAGACAUAUAUAUGUCUAGCAUUUUGAAUCAUAGCAUAUAUAGGUGCAGAACUAGAAACUGAUCAAUUAGACCAAACAUGC
This 130-nucleotide non-coding RNA is filed under the name Saccoglossus kowalevskii. The record is from RNAcentral. Lineage: Eukaryota; Metazoa; Hemichordata; Enteropneusta; Harrimaniidae.